Molecule: long non-coding RNA, 243 nt
Filed under: Phoenix dactylifera (date palm)
Lineage: Eukaryota; Viridiplantae; Streptophyta; Magnoliopsida; Arecales; Arecaceae
Description: long non-coding RNA (PDAC_LNC007296)
Source: RNAcentral
UGCAGGUGAUCGUAAAUCAAAGCUAAAAUGCGCAUUGAGUCCAAAAGAUGCAUCACCGCAGGUGACCAGCCAACCGCAUGGUUUAACCCCAGUUGCACACUAGAAGGAGGCUAAGUUCAGCCAUCCAGUUCAUUGCAACCAAUUUCCAGCAGCCUGUGCAUCUCAUCUCGAUGGAGCCCUCGUGCAGCCCAUCCUCUUCUCUAGCGAGUGAUCCACAGCAUCCAAGGCCAUGCUAUCAGCUCC